Molecule: long non-coding RNA, 393 nt
Filed under: Elaeis guineensis (African oil palm)
Lineage: Eukaryota; Viridiplantae; Streptophyta; Magnoliopsida; Arecales; Arecaceae
Description: long non-coding RNA (EGUI_LNC051324)
Source: RNAcentral
CCUCCCUCCUUGCGUGGUGGCGUGUGGACUACUCCAAAGGCUUGAGAUCAGAUCUUAAGUGUAAUUCUCCUUCCUCUCCAAAGAAAGAGUUCAUCCCUCUCUCCUACAGUGUUUGGCGUGCAUGCGAAGUAGAGGAUCCGUGCUUCCAGAUCUCGUGAAGUAUAUUGAUCGAGGAGCUUCUUCAAUCUUUAUUAUUUUCUGCUAUGAAUCAAAAUGAGAAUUCAUAUGUUAUGAAAAUUUUAAUUGCUAAUCUAUUCUACUUUCCAGGCAUUCGAUACGAUCCGACAAAUUUUUUCUUCACCGCUUGUCCUCUUGCUUCUUGUCUCUCCGGUGUGCCAGUGCUAGUUGCGACUGAGGUAAAGGAAAUGGAUGUUGAGACAAAGGAGGUGGUUG